Non-coding RNA from Cinara cedri, 1043 nucleotides. Lineage: Eukaryota; Metazoa; Arthropoda; Insecta; Hemiptera; Aphididae. The record is from the annotation of a GenBank genome assembly.
CGCCAACCGGCGUGUCGCGGUGUUCGGUUGAGUUACGUACCUCAUGUACACAUUUUUCAUGUCAUUAAUACUGUUAAUAAACUCUUUCUUUUUAGCGCUACACGCCCGAAUUCGCUAUUCGUUAAUUAUUAUUAUCGCAAGUAACUUUUGGCCGCGAGCAAUACGGGCGUGUAGCGGUAAAAGAAAAUUUAAUGUAUGUACAAGAGAAUGUCGGAUCCGGUGGACGAUGAGUGCGAACGCCGCGCCGCAGGUGGCGCGCGGCCGGUUCACCAAUCACCAUCGUUGACGUGGUUGACGUGACGGAAACUGCGCCGCAACCAACGUUCCCGCAGUGAGCCGACCGGAAAAGAAAUACUGUUGCGGAAACGAUUUAGAUUUUUUUGAGUAAUUAAAUUUAAAUAUCGUCUCUGGAAUUGUACCAUCACGGACAAAAAAACAAAAUUUGUUUACAUCAUAUUUUAAUGUCGAUGUACGAUCAUACUAUCAUAGAAUAAUCGAUCCAACUCUAUGUGUAUGAUACUUUUCAGUUUUUAUUUCAUUUCAUUUACGUUGUUUAUGCACUUAAAACAUAGUCCAACCAUUUAAAGUCUAUUGGUUAAAGAUAGUUUCUGUCAUUUCUGUUAUCGUAGUAUGUAUGGGUUUAGUUUGUAUCAUUGCAACUUUUUUUUUUAUUAAGUUUUAAUUAAUCUUUCAAUCCUUUUUAAACUAUCAUUGUCAUGAAUUCCCUCAUUGUUGAAAAAGCAAUACUAUUAACUUAGAAUCAUUCAGAAUCGUUGUUUGUUAGCAAUGAUUUAUAUUAUUAAUAUAUAUUUUACAUUUCCCCUCUAUCUUCCCAACUUCUCAUUUAUAAUAGAGGUUUAACCACCAUGCGAAGUAUGCCUUUAUUUUUGUUUCUACACGUGAUAUUUAUAUUUAUUUCUGCAAAGUCUCUUAUUGUAAUUUUUUUUUUUUAAUUUAUAGAUUGUGUAUUCUUAUUAUUAUGAUUAAAAAAAAUACAUAUUAUUCGAUUUAGUGUAAUACUUAACCAAAUUAAUAAUAUGUAA